UUACCAGUUCAUCAAAAUUUAAAGUGUUCCUUUUGUUAAUUAUGGGAGCGUGUUUAAGCAACAACAAGAUGCAACAGUAGAUAUUGUGUAGCAACUUGUCACCUGUGGUAGCAAGUGCUAUGAAAUGAAAAGUUGGAAACGUGAUCCUGCAACCCUCACUUGACGACUCAAAUAUUACUACUCCCGUAUGGUCCAAAAUAAUAUCGCCAGUUAUAGAAAAGAAAAAGGGUAUUUCAGAUUGCAUUUAAAAUUGAGCAGGAGUCUGGAAUCUCAGCUUUCCUUAAAACAGUGUUAACACACCUUGCUGAUCUCAGCCUAAUGAAGAAAGUACCUGCAAAGAAAGCCCACCCACAAAAAGCAUGUUGAAGAAAGAAGUUUUCUUGAAGUGUAUUAACACUAGGCAUCUGAGGAUUGGAAGAGAGUGAUUUUUUCGGAUGAGAGGUAAUUUAAUGUGUGUGGUCUGAAACUGUGGACGGAGUCAGGAGAAGAUCUGAAGAAAGAUUGUGUUGUGCUAGUUAAAUAGUUCAGUGAAAGUGUAAUGCUGUGGGGAGUGAUGUGUUCUAAAGCAGUAGGAAGAAUUACAGUUUGCACAGAUUCAAUUAUAGGGUUAAAUUAAAGUGACAUUGUUAAAAAUGAGGUAGCAAAUGCUAAAAGGGAUCAUUUUAGUCGAGAAAACUGUGGGCUAUUCAUUUUCCAGGAUGACAGUGAGCUAGUCACCUUACCAGGGUUGUACAGGAGCGUUGUGCAGGUCUGAUGAUUGAGCAGUUAUGGUGGCCUCCAAAUUCUCCGGACAUGAAUCAUAUUGAAAAUUUGUGGGCUAUUAUGUCUUAAAAACUAAGUGAAUAUUCUUGACCAAUAGAAUAGAGUUGAUUGGGGGAAUUAUUCAUGCCUGGUACCAUGAAAUUGAACCUGGUGCACAUGAAAGAAUUAUUGAGUCAAAGACAGAGUUCAAGCCCUUGAAAAGGCAUGAUGUGAGGUGGACAUAAUAUUAAUUUUGAUGUAAUAUGUUUUGUACAAGUUAAUUUCACUUUGAACAAAAGCAAAAAGUGCAGUAAACCAAUGAAAUAUA
This is a long non-coding RNA of Schistocerca cancellata (South American locust), 1069 nucleotides long. RefSeq lists it as uncharacterized. The record is from RefSeq and is a predicted model, not a curated record. The transcript is spliced from 2 exons. Lineage: Eukaryota; Metazoa; Arthropoda; Insecta; Orthoptera; Acrididae.